Molecule: ribosomal RNA, 393 nt
Filed under: uncultured bacterium
Lineage: Bacteria
Description: partial 16S ribosomal RNA
Rfam family: Bacterial small subunit ribosomal RNA
Source: RNAcentral
AUACGGAGGAUCCGAGCGUUAUCCGGAUUUAUUGGGUUUAAAGGGUGCGCAGGCGGGAGAUUAAGUCGGCGGUGAAAUUUUGCAGCUCAAAUGUAAAAGGGCCUUUGAAACUGGUUUUCUUUAGUGUAGAUGGAGUAGGCGGAAUUUGUGGGGUAGCGGUGAAAUGCAUAGAUAUCACGAGGAACUCCGAUUGCGCAGGCAGCUUACUAAACUACUACUGACGCUCAGGCACGAAGGCGUGGGGAUCAAACAGGAUUAGAUACCCUGGUAGUCCACGCAGUAAACGAUGAUUACUAGCUGUUUGCGAUACAAUGUAAGCGGCUGAGCGAAAGCGUUAAGUAAUCCACCUGGGGAGUACGUUCGCAAGAAUGAAACUCAAAUGAAUUGACGGGG